UACGUAGGGGGCUAGCGUUGUCCGGAUUUAUUGGGCGUAAAGAGCGUGUAGGCGGCCAUGUAGGUCCGGUGUGAAAACUCGAGGCUUAACCUCGAGAUGUCAUCGGAAACCAUUUGGCUAGAGUCCGGAAGAGGAGAGUGGAAUUCCUGGUGUAGCGGUGAAAUGCGCAGAUAUCAGGAAGAACACCAAUGGCGAAAGCAGCUCUCUGGGACGGUACUGACGCUGAGGCACGAAAGCGUGGGGAGCAAACAGG
Molecule: ribosomal RNA, 253 nt
Filed under: uncultured bacterium
Lineage: Bacteria
Description: partial 16S ribosomal RNA
Rfam family: Bacterial small subunit ribosomal RNA
Source: RNAcentral